RNAcentral lists this ribosomal RNA (1230 nucleotides) under Triticum aestivum (bread wheat). Its description in RNAcentral is "partial small subunit ribosomal RNA". The record is from RNAcentral. Lineage: Eukaryota; Viridiplantae; Streptophyta; Magnoliopsida; Poales; Poaceae.
AUGGGCUUCUUGCCGAUGAUGUACGCAUCACUCUCUCUGCUGCUACUAGGAUCACUAGGAAAGCUAAUGGUGCUAGCAUCUGGAGUUGUAACAAGCCACAGCCCUGAAGGGAAUUGGGCACAUCCAUCACUUGCCACACUUGAUGGUUGCCCCAAGAGCUGUGGCAAUCUGAGCUUCGACUACCCCUUUGGCAUCGGUUCAAGGUGCUCUCGGGAUCCUGACUUCAACCUCAUUUGCAACGACACAGCUAAGCCCCCCAGGCUGUUCUUGUGCGACAGCAUCACCGAGGUGAUCGACAACAUCGACGUUGGUAGCGGUGGGGAUUCCUACCACACUCACAAAAGCAUCAGUACCUCCUUCUGGCGUACCAUCCCCAUGAAAUCUGGUGUCCAUGUCUACUACUUGUCUUUCCAACCUCCUGGUAGAUCCUUCAGCCGUGGGGAAACCAUUCUGAACAUCACUGGUUGCGACCUGGAUGUGUAUUGGGUCAACAGCAACACACACAGAACAACAUGGAUCUGUACGACUGUGUGCCCGGACCAAGUUAUCACAGAGACCAUGGCUAGGCUCAACUGCAGUGGCAUCGGAUGUUGCAGUUUUCCUAUGACAGGCCUGCUUCCUGUUGCUUUUCAGCUCAAAUUUGUCCACCACCACGGCAAAACUAGCACCAGAACACGCUCAAACCAGACCUCUAUGCUGUGGGAUAGAAUCAGCAUAAGUGACGGUGGCGGCGGCACAGUUUUGUGGAAUAUAGUGGAUCAACAAAAUUGUGCUAGCGCCGUGCGAAACAGGACAGCGUAUGCUUGUAUCGGCAAGCAUUCCUUGUGCGGCGACUAUAGCGUGACAUCAACCGACGGCUACAACUGCAUCUGCAGUGCCGGCUAUGCAGGCAACCCCUUCAUUCAAGAUGGCUGUUCCAGAGACAAAGGGUAUAAUCCAAUUCCGAGCAGAGCUAAUUGUACCCGUUGGUGUGGUAACAUUAGGGUGCCAUACCCAUUCGGCUUAGAAGAGGGUUGCUUUGCCAGGGAACAAUUCCAACUCAACUGUUUUUGGUCAAAUUUGACAUCAUCAGCUGUCCUCAUGUUUGAGUUUCAAGAGGUAAUGAACCUGAAUGUUAACGAAGGGACCAUUAAGAUGGCUUCCAAGGAAAUCCAUAUGCCAAAAAUGGCUGUCAAGGUACAUCUGUUGUGCUGUAUCUGUCCAUGUUUAUUGGUGAAAUCAGGAGUAUAG